Molecule: unclassified non-coding RNA, 87 nt
Filed under: Pseudomonas palleroniana
Lineage: Bacteria; Pseudomonadati; Pseudomonadota; Gammaproteobacteria; Pseudomonadales; Pseudomonadaceae
Source: RNAcentral
GUGGGAGGGGGCUUGCUCCCGAUGGCGGUGGGUCAGUUAUGAAUUCAGUGACUGACACACUGCAAUCGGGAGCAAGCUCCCUCCCAC